This 253-nucleotide ribosomal RNA is filed under the name uncultured bacterium. Its description in RNAcentral is "partial 16S ribosomal RNA". It matches the Rfam family "Bacterial small subunit ribosomal RNA", at positions 524 to 776 of the family's 1533-position model. The record is from RNAcentral.
GACAGAGGGUGCAAACGUUGUUCGGAAUUACUGGGUGUAAAGCGUGUGUAGGCGGCCAUGUAAGUCGGAUGUGAAAGCCCCGGGCUUAACCCGGGAAGUGCAUUCGAUACUGCGUGGCUUGAGUAUCGGAGAGGUUGGUGGAAUUCUCGGUGUAGCGGUGAAAUGCGUAGAUAUCUGGAGGAACACCGGUGGCGAAGGCGGCAUCCUGGACCAAUAUUGACGCUGAGGAGCGAAAGCCAGGGGAGCAAACGGG